This 449-nucleotide ribosomal RNA is filed under the name uncultured bacterium. Its description in RNAcentral is "partial 16S ribosomal RNA". It matches the Rfam family "Bacterial small subunit ribosomal RNA", at positions 328 to 792 of the family's 1533-position model. The record is from RNAcentral.
GCUCCAGACUCCUACGGGAGGCAGCAGUGGGGGAUAUUGCACAAUGGGGGAAACCCUGAUGCAGCGACGCCGCGUGGGCGAAGAAGUAUUUCGGUAUGUAAAGCCCUAUCAGCAGGGAAGAAGAAAUGACGGUACCUGAGUAAGAAGCACCGGCUAAAUACGUGCCAGCAGCCGCGGUAAUACGUAUGGUGCAAGCGUUAUCCGGAUUUACUGGGUGUAAAGGGAGCGCAGGCGGCACGGCAAGUCCGGUGUGAAAGCCCGGGGCCCAACCCCGGGACUACACUGGAAACUGCCGGGCUGGAGUGUCGGAGGGGCAGGCGGAAUUCCUAGUGUAGCGGUGAAAUGCGUAGAUAUUAGGAGGAACACCGGUGGCGAAGGCGGCCUGCUGGACGACGACUGACGCUGAGGCUCGAAAGCGUGGGGAGCAAACAGGAUUAGAUACCCCAGUA